CCUGGAUUCAAAAUCCAUUUUCUGUAACAGAUGAUGAUGAUGAUGAUUAGGGCUCGGAAGUUUAAGACAUGUCAUAUUUUUUUCCUUAACUGUAUUCAACUUAAAAACCAAUUUUAACUGCAAAAUAGACGAAUUGAAAUAUGUCUAGGUGAAAUUUAUUGGUCAUAUAAAUUCAUAUUUACCACAUUCGGUCAUAUUUGGUCAUAUUUCCGCCUAAAUUUUCGUAAAUGUCAUAUUUUGGGUAUUUUUUAGUAAUUUACUCUCAAUUAAAUGUGAGGAAUGCAAUAAAUUAAAAGAAUAUUUUCCAAGCUGUUUUAUGUAAUAAUUUCUUAUCAAUUUACUUCUACGUUGCUAUAAAACACAUGUAUAUGGUGGCGUUUUGGCAACACGCAGUGAGCCAUUUACAUCACUUUCUAUUCUCUAUCAAGCAGUGAGAGUUUGUUUAUUGUUUUCGUAGGUGAAGUUGUGAGUCACAACUUUUGACACAAGCUACAUAAUGCCUAAAGAAAAAUGUUCUAUUGGUGUAAGACUCCGUUGUUUUGUGAAAGAAUUUGGUGAAGAAUAUUUUACCACCGAUGGUAAAGUGCUAUUCUGCAAACUAUGUGAUGUGAAAGUUACAGCAGAAAAACGUUUCCAUGUCCAACAACAUGUGAAGGCAUUGAAGCACAUAGGCCAUAUGGCUCGGAAGAAAAGCAGCCAGGAAAAGCAACAAUUAAUCUUCAACGACAGAACUGCUUCAUCAAGAUCAGACAAAACUUCAGAGUUUU
Molecule: long non-coding RNA, 767 nt
Filed under: Androctonus crassicauda
Lineage: Eukaryota; Metazoa; Arthropoda; Arachnida; Scorpiones; Buthidae
Source: RNAcentral